AAAGAAGGACCAAGGAGGAUCCUAUCCUUAAGGAGAAGGAGGAGUAGGAGGAGUCAGUUUUCUUUGAAGAUCGAGGAACGUAGUGUCGGACAAUUAUGCCAUUCGGAAGAAGUCUUCUACAGAAGAAAAGCCUGUUACGAGUAAGUGGAGAGGAAAGAUCUCCAGGGAUUCUUAUCUCAUUCCAUUCCAGUGGCUCAACCAGUAACCAAUGGCGAAAACUCAAAAAUCCAUGGUUUCCCGGUAGAACCCUAUUUCGCCCAAGUUGUUUCGGAACCGGAAAAAAGAAGCGGUUUUUCGCACAGCUUGCUCAUAGUGCAGGUCCCACUUGUAUAUCGUAUUUGGCCGAAGAAGCAUCGGACAGGUUUAAUGGCGAAAACUAAAAAAUCCAUGGUUUUCCGGUAGAACCCUAUUUCGCCCAAGUUGUUUCGGAACCGGAAAAAAGAAGAAGGAAAAAAUUGACUUUCCUCACUUAUGGAUGAAGGCCAUUUUCUUACAACAACCUUGAUUUUUAAUUUCAUAUUAUUUGCUUCAACUAGUACUUUGUUACAACAUCCUUGAUUUUAAAAAGUAUAUUUGCUUCGAUUCAAUUAACUAUCCCAAUUCAUAUGGUUUAUUUAUUAAGAGAAUGGUUGGUAUUGUUUAUGUUGACUUUUCUUACGUCAUUAGUGAAAUGUUUAUUACAAGCAAGCUAUUACUAUAUUCAUAAGAGUAUAAGUAGGUCCCUUUUAAUUAUGCCAUUAGUGGAGUUGUUCGACUAUUCAAGUUAUAAUACUUUGUGGAUACGAUAUCUUUUUCUCAAACUAGUAACUUCUUAGUGUGGACACAAGUAUUUUUCUUUUUCUCCCAAGAUUGACUAUUUUAUAAUAAUAAUAAUAAUAAAAUCAUACAAGUAACAAGUAGCACAACUUUUGAAAGAAGACCAGCAAAAGACUCUGCCGUGACAUAUAUAAACCAGAAAGACUUUAAACUUGGAACUAACAAGGAAGCUAGCUUUCACAUGCAAAAACUAAAACAAAAAGUAAGGGGAGAAAUUCAAAAAUAGCCAGAUUUAUAAGUGAUCGUUUGAAAAUAACCCAGCUUCAAAAGUAAUCUAAAUUUAGCCACUUUUCAUAUACAAAUAAAUCUGAACGAAAACACAAUUCAAAACCCGAAAAAAUACUCCAACAUAAUAUUCUAGAGUUACAUUCUAAUAUACUGGAGUUCCAGUAUAAUAUACCGAUCCAACAUAAUAUAUUAGAGUUUGAAGCACCGGUGCUCCAGUAUAUUAUAAUCUGGAGCCAGCAAAGUAUACCGGUCCAACAUAAUAAGCUGAAAGUUCAUACAUAGGUACACCGAACUCCAGUAUAUUAUGCUGGUCUGGUCUCUGUUACAAUAAAAUAAUAGCUAUUUUUGAAUAACCCGUUCGAAAACUGACUCGGCCGUGCUAUUUUUAGAAAAAUAAGAUGAAAUCUCAUUGUGUGAUGUUUCUCUUUCUCCAUAAAAUUUAAUUAGGCAGGGCAGUAUAUAUUCAAUUCAAAACAAACGGGAAACAGGAAACCGAGUAAGUGAACGCGGAAGCUGGCAGCUCUUACUAACUAAUACUAGUGUAUUAUAAUUCACAAAAAAAGACAUAGUAUUAAAGAAACUGCUGCAUUGCUCUCAGCUACAACUCUUGUUUGGUUCAUUGAAAAGUCAAUUUUAUCAUUGAACCAAUUAUGGAAAGAACCAAUAGCAUUCUUAUGUUUGUGUUGCGUCAUCUCUUUCGUACUGCUUCUUUGGCUAUUAAUCCUAAUGAUGAAGCUGCUCUUCUUGCCUUCAAAUCUCACAUUUCUUCUGAUCCUAAUAACUUGUUAGAAAGCAACUGGACUGUUUCCUCCCUAGUUUGCAGCUGGAUUGGCAUUACUUGCAGCUCGCGCCACCAUAGAGUCACUGCUUUAGACAUUUCUAGCAUGCAACUUUGCGGUACCAUUCCUCCACACCUCGGAAAUCUCUCACUUCUUGUUUCCCUUGACAUCAGUAACAACAGUUUUCGUGGCGAUCUGCCACAAGAGUUGUCUCUUUUGCAAAGGUUGAAACUUAUUGAUGUUACACGAAAUAAUUUUAGUGGUCCUAUUCCAUCGGUCUUAAGUUUGUUACCAAACCUUCGAUUCCUCUACCUUUCGAGCAACCAAUUUUCAGGGGAAAUCCCAUCUUCCUUUUCCAAUUUGACAAAUCUUCAACAGUUAAGAAUGCAGAGGAAUUCUCUUCAAGGAAAGAUCCCUCCUGAAAUUGGCGACCUUCGUUACUUGACAAUGUUAGACCUACAAGGUAAUGUUUAAGUAUAUAACCAUCUCAUCAAAAAGCUUAAACUGUAAGAGAAUGCAUGCAUAUUUUCCUUUACUUCAUUAUAUACAGUACAGAGCCGCAGCCAGAAUUUGAAGCUUAUGGGGUCAGGACUCUAGUUCUUUUAAGUCUCCAGAUUCUAAAUUAAUAAUCUGUGCAUGCAUAUUCAGUUAAUUUCUUAAGACAAAUAUAAGGUUUGGACUGAAGUUACUGGGUUCGGCCGAACCAUAGCGGAACGGCUGGCUCCGCCGCUGAUUAUAUAUUCAACAUGCCCCUUCACAUGCAGGCCUAAUUGAUCUUCUUGAUUGGUCAUGUUGAUGUGUGUGAUCGCCUAAUCUAAAAGUUUAAUUAUUUAUUCAACAGGUAACAGGCUUACUGGCUCUAUACCACCAUCAAUCUUCAACAUGACUUCCCUGAGACAACUUGCCUUAAUUCGCAAUCGUUUUACUGGUAAACUUCCUGUAGAUAUUUGUAACAAUCUCCCAAAUCUCGAAGUGCUCUUUCUCUCUAGCAACAUCCUAGAUGGCCUAAUCCCACCAAAUUUAGAGAAAUGCUCAAAGCUUAAAAAUUUGACAUUGUCUGGAAAUCAGUUCACUGGAACUAUACCUAGAGAACUUGGGAACUUAACUAUGCUCACAUUGUUGCAUCUUGGAGAAAACCUUUUAGAAGGUAUGAAUUAUCUUUCAGCUUUUGUUUUUUUUUAUUUUAAGAUUUCUGAAUAGCUAAGCAAUGUCAGUUUGAACUAAUCAUUAUGCAUUUUACUCUAAUUGCCAGGAGAAAUACCAGUUGAGAUAGGUAAUCUACAAAACCUUCAAUUGCUUGGGUUACGAGGUAACAACUUAAGUGGUUCUAUUCCUGCAAACAUUUUCAACAUUUCAGCAUUGAAGAUACUUACCAUAUAUGGAAAUCAGAUAUCAGGUAGUUUACCUUCACAUUUAGGCCUUGGAAUACCAAAUCUUGAAGAAGUUUACCUUGGAUCGAAUGACCUUAGCGGAAGAAUUGCUCCUACAAUCUCAAAUGCUUCAAGGCUAAUUAUUAUAGACCUAGCAAACAACAAAUUUACAGGUCCAAUUCCUAAUUCACUUGGUACCUUAGAGUUUCUUGAAGGCCUAUACUUGGGUGGUAACAACUUCAUUAAUGAGCCAUCUUCUUCUGAGUUAAGCUUCCUUACAUCCCUGACUAAUUGUAGAUAUUUAAGAGAAGUGGUCAUUGAAGAGAAUCCUUUGAAUGGUUUUCUUCCAGCUUCUAUUGGAAAUUUUUCUGAUUCUCUUCGGAUAAUUAUAGUACGUAGAAGCAAGCUGAAGGGCACCAUCCCAGAAGAUAUUGGAAAUCUAAGCGGCUUACGUGUGCUAGCUCUGUCUCAUAAUAACCUCAUUGGUUCCAUUCCUGAGAAGUUGAGAACAAUGCAAAAUCUUCAAGAAUUUUACUUAGAAAAUAACAGUCUAAGAGGAACAAUACCUGAUGAUAUCUGCAGUUUACAGAAUCUUGGAGCUUUAGACUUGACUUCUAAUCAAAUUUCUGGUUCAGUUCCAGCUUGUUUAGGAAAAGUGUCUACUUUAAGAUAUCUGCAUUUAGGUUUCAACAGAUUGAAAUCCACCUUACCUGAAAGCCUGUGGAGUCUUCAAGAUCUCAUAGAACUGAGUGCAUCAUCAAAUCUAUUAAGGGGGCGUAUACCUCCUGAGAUAGGUAAUCUAAAAGUUGUGACACUAAUUGAUCUGUCCAAAAAUGAUCUUUCUGGUAAUAUUCCUAGUACUAUAGGGGGUCUUGAAAAUUUGAUUAGUCUCUCAAUGGCACAUAAUAAAUUAGAAGGGCCUAUUCCAAGUUCAUUUGGUAAAAUGGUAGGCUUGGAAUUCUUGGAUUUCUCUUACAACAAUCUUACUAGUGAAAUUCCAAAGUCACUUGAAGCACUCUCACACCUUAACUACUUCAACAUCUCUUUUAACAAGUUAAAGGGAGAAAUUCCCACUGGCGGUCCUUUUGCAGAUUUCACCGGUCAAUCUUUCAUGUCCAAUGAUGCACUCUGUGGUGAUUCUCGCUUUAAUGUGUCACCAUGCCUCAUCAAAUCCACCAAGAAAUCAAGGAGAAAGAGAGUGCUUAUAGGACUAUAUAUUCUAUUAGGGAUUGGAUCAAUGUUUCUAGUAUUUGUCCUUGGAUAUAUGCUGUUAAGAUGGCAAAAGAAAAAGAAGAAUUCAGGUCAAACAGAUGAGUCUUUUGUGAAAGGACAUGACAGAAUAUCAUAUCAUGAACUUCAACAAGCAACUGAAGGAUUCAGUGAGAGCAAUUUGCUUGGUAAAGGGAGUUUCAGCGUGGUGUACAAAGGGAUACUUAAAGAUGGGACUCGUUUGGCUGCAAAGGUAUUCAAUGUGCAUUUGGAGGGAGCAUUUAAGAGCUUUGACACAGAAUGUGAGAUACUACGCAACCUUCGCCAUAGAAAUCUCACAAGAGUGAUAACUAGUUGUUCCAACCCAGACUUCAAAGCCUUAGUAUUGGAUUACAUGCCCAAUGGAACACUUGAUAAGUGGCUAUACUCUCAUAAUUUGUUCUUAAACAUGUUGCAGAGGCUGGAUAUUAUGAUAGAUGUGGCAUCGGCGUUAGAUUAUCUCCACAAUGGGUAUCCAACACCUGUGGUGCAUUGUGAUCUAAAGCCAAGCAAUGUCUUGCUAGAUCAAGAAAUGAUUGGUCAUGUGAGUGAUUUUGGCAUUGCAAAGUUGCUAGGUGCGGGGGAAACUUUUGUCCAAACAAGGACUAUUGCAACCAUUGGAUACAUAGCUCCAGGUAAUAGAACCUUUCAAACUUGGUAUGCUGUAGAUUUUCCAUUUCAAAAUUAUAUUCCAUGGUAAUAAGGAGUAGUUUAGUUCAUGAGCUAACAAAAUUUCCCCCUUGAUUGCAGAGUAUGGACAGGAUGGAAUAGUAUCCAAAAAUUGUGAUGUCUAUAGUUUCGGCAUCAUGAUGAUGGAAACAUUUACUAGGAUGAGGCCAAGUGAUGAUAUGUUUACUGGAGAUUUGAGCCUAAGAUGUUGGAUUAAUGACUCUUUUCCUAGUGGAGUUGGUAAAGUUGUGGAUGCCAAUUUGUUGAGGCCAGAGGAAGGACAUAUUAAAGCCAAGAUUCAAUGUUUGUUGUCUAUUAUGGAAUUAGCUUUGAGUUGCACUUUAGUGUCACCUGAUGCAAGAGUUAACAUGGAAAAUGCUCUUUCAGCCCUCAGGAAGAUAAGAUUUCAGUUUGUCACUAGUUGUGUUAGGACAUAAAAGAAAAGGUUCUUCUACUCCUUUUUUGUCAGUUUUCGCAUGAUUAUUUCAUCACUCCAUAUGAUGUAUGUUCUGUGUGUGAUUCGGAGCUUGUAAAGAAAUAAGCUAUAUGAUAUGAUUACUAAAAAAUAAAGUAACAGAUCUGUGACUUCAAAUUCCUUCAAUAGCUCAAUGGAGUUGGUGAGAACUACAGAAUGCAUAGGGAUAAACGCAUACAAAAAGUUAGUUCUUAUCCUCAUAAAGAAUAUGCAGAAACUAAAUAAACUUAAGAAAAACAGGUCUACAACUAAAUGGAGCCUCAUGUUUCUUUACAGCAACUGCUUUUCUCCAGACCAAGGAUUUCUACAUAGAUGAAGCAGGACAAGACUUUAAGUCUUUAAUUGUACAUCUUUCUCAGUCCGCUCAGGUUGAUAUCUGUAAUACCCAAUGGAAUGAGAACAGAAAAAAGGACCAUUUGUGAUCACUGUUUCGCAGGUGAACUCACAGAGCUUAUCACAUUCAUCAGAGAAAUGUAGUCAAUAGUAGUUGAUACGCCUACACAAGGCUCUCAGGCUAUUAGAGCAUCAGCCGCAUGCCAAUUGCAGUAGCCUCUUUGAAGCAACUAGAAGUAUUCACAUGCAGUUGGAAAUAAUAAGCUCGAAUUAAUAACGUCUACUACAUCAAGGUGCCACUUCUAGUGUUGCUGCGGUCCUCUCGGACCAGCUACUAAUCUUCACCUUGGUAAACUAUAGCCUCAGAACUAGCUAAUCAGACGAGAGCCCCUCCACAGAUUCCUCCUUAUCAUAUUUGCUUUAGUUGAAGAGAAUCAAUUAAGUAAUAUCAGAACAAGUAAUCACUGAGAAUAUCCACUUUGGAAUAAUAAAGGGAGAGAUUCUGGCAGGAUUAUCCGUCCACUUUGAAUUCUAAAGAAAAUGAUCACAACUACAUAGAAACUGAAAAAGGGGAAAAUACCUAUGCAUUGGAUCAUAAUCAGUCUUUUAUUACAUGGGGACCACACCAUCUUUCCUUGAGCAUUGUUGUUGACACCACUAAAUUAAACUGCCUGGAUUACACCAAAAAGCACUCAGUCGUUAAUUUCUAUUUUCCAAGCAUUUGCCUCCAUAACUGUCACUCAGGUACCUCCACAAGCUACAGAAAUAACUCAAACUGUUCAAGUGCCUUCACAAGCUACUAAAUAACAACCCCCAUAGGGGGAAAUUUAACAAGAAAUGCUUAAGCAAAAGUCCUACUACAUUUCCAAUAACUUUCAAAUGUGCCCAAAUCAUAUUUAGCUGCACUAGCGCAUGAUUCCAUUAGCAGGAAUAAAUCAAUGAAGUGACAAGCACACAAUUUCAACAACAUUACUGAAGAGAAUCGGCUGCAGGGACUGGUCCAUGGUUUACAACCACAGGAGGCCGAAGAGCUUUGUGAUUAGCUACAUUUUCCUUGCGUGCCUUGUAUAUCUCUUCUGUCUGAAUGACAACCAACCUUUUCACCUAAGAUCAGUAUGAGAAAUGUAAAAUGAAUAAUUACUAGUACUUCAUAUGAAAACAAGAAGAGAGCACUCAUUCAAUAAAUUCAUAUUUAUAGCAAGCCAAUUUUAAAACCUGCUGAAGCAUUCCCCUAACAGUAGGGGUGUUCCACCGCAUUACAGUCCUGUUGCAUUUGUGAAGGCGCAGUGCCUCUAAGGUGCGUCUAUGGAGCCUUCUAGUGCCGGGAAUACCCCUUACAAGGGUUAUGUAUAAAUUAGGGCUCCAAGCUACUGGAACAAAAGCUUUAAAAGCAUUGCAAGCACUCAUCUUUUCCUGUUUUACUGGUAUUUACUUUCCUGUGGCAGAAGUAACGUAAAACUUUCCAUCAAAUAUUUUCAAAUAGGAAGCUAGGGAAGGAGGUACAGGAUCUAACAAAUCUGCUUCACGUGGAUAUUUAUAUUUCUCACAAUUAAACAAAAUAUAGCUAAGUGACAGCAUGUGGAGCAAUGAACUUAUUAAGAAAACACACCUAAACCAGAUAACAAUCUAAGUAACAAGAUGGAUUACAAAAAUUUAACUGAAAGAAAANNNNNNNNNNNNNNNNNNNNNNNNNNNNNNNNNNNNNNNNNNNNNNNNNNNNNNNNNNNNNNNNNNNNNNNNNNNNNNNNNNNNNNNNNNNNNNNNNNNNNNNNNNNNNNNNNNNNNNNNNNNNNNNNNNNNNNNNNNNNNNNNNNNNNNNNNNNNNNNNNNNNNNNNNNNNNNNNNNNNNNNNNNNNNNNNNNNNNNNNNNNNNNNNNNNNNNNNNNNNNNNNNNNNNNNNNNNNNNNNNNNNNNNNNNNNNNNNNNNNNNNNNNNNNNNNNNNNNNNNNNNNNNNNNNNNNNNNNNNNNNNNNNNNNNNNNNNNNNNNNNNNNNNNNNNNNNNNNNNNNNNNNNNNNNNNNNNNNNNNNNNNNNNNNNNNNNNNNNNNNNNNNNNNNNNNNNNNNNNNNNNNNNNNNNNNNNNNNNNNNNNNNNNNNNNNNNNNNNNNNNNNNNNNNNNNNNNNNNNNNNNNNNNNNNNNNNNNNNNNNNNNNNNNNNNNNNNNNNNNNNNNNNNNNNNNNNNNNNNNNNNNNNNNNNNNNNNNNNNNNNNNNNNNNNNNNNNNNNNNNNNNNNNNNNNNNNNNNNNNNNNNNGUAUUGAUGUUUUAAGCCUGCUUAGUGGCACGUCCUUUACAAUUAUGAAAAUACAUAUAUGCAUAAUAUUUUUUUUUUCAUAUUUUUAGUAUCUGCGGGGAUGCAUAAAGUAAAAUACAUAAGCAUCAACAUUCAAAGUGUGAUGUUGCCGGAAGCUAUGAAAGUUGAGAGGAUGAUUUUCUCAAUGUUAUGAGGUAAAAAUAGAAGGAGUACCAACUCAUAGUGGGCAGAACUGUAAUGAGUCUUACAUAACAUUGCUUAGUGUAAAAUCAUAAGGAACUUUGCUUCAUUAUCACAAAUAUCAGUAAACAUGUACUCAGACUGAGAGAACGCAGGAUUCUCCCCAAGGUUUAACAAAAUUUGGUCCAUAUAUUUCAAAAUUGAUUAUUUAUCUAUAUGAUUUAUUCUUACAAGUAUUUCCUAGUAUUAGGAAGUUCUACGAUUGAGUAGCUUAAUUACUAUACACCACUACCGGAAAAGAUUAGGAGUCAAUUAACAGGAACAGUAUCACUUUUCAUGAAAGCCUGAAGAAGUAAUUGACAUCUUCUUCAAGAAACGGGUUGACUAGCAGUAGUAGCAAUGCAACAACAACAACAACAACAACCAAGUAAAAUCCCAUAAGAGGGAUAUGGGGAGGGAAGUGUGUACGCAGACUUAACCCCUACGCCAAUGGGCAGCCUUCGGUUGUUUCUGAUAGGCCCUCGGCUCAAGAAGAUGGAAAAGACUGAGAAGAGAGAAUAUAUCAGUACCGUCAAGGCGUCAACAGAAAGCAUAGAAAUAAUAACAGAAUAAAUGAUUGCUAUUAAUUCCAGAUGCGAAACCACUAUUUUCAACCCUCAUCACUUUGAACGUACGUUCCCACUCAAUAUAGGCACAUUUCGGCCAACCUUCUCAGCCAUGAACAGUACUUAACUGAAACCUUGUCAAACGUCAGUUAUUCACCGAGCUCACAUCUAAGCCCAUAGGGCUUAGCUCAAUCGGCAAAGGUUGACGGACUUGUGGCUUAGGUCACAAGUUCGAGCUCUGUGCCAAGGGAACUAAGUCUCCUAUCUAAAUGUGGAAGGAUAGAGGAGCAAGCCCAUUAUCCCCGAGUUCUGAAGGCUGCGGUUCCAGGCAUGGUUCUAACUCCUAAGGGUUGAUUCCAGACAACAUCUAACUAAUUACCACAAAAAAUGGCAAAUCAAUUUCUUUUCUUGUUCGCUAACGAGGAAAAUAAAUAUUUAACUAGUUCAAUACCUCUUACAGCUGAGAUGGAAAGACAAAAAUUGAACUUUUUUUUUUCAAGGACUUCACAUAAUGUCUCUUCCACUAUAAUUAAUAUUUUAGGAUUCCAUGAGUGAAUAAUUAACAGGUUUUCAUUCUAAUUAACAUCAGAAGUUAAUAAACAAGACAAUUUAGAGAUACCCAAAAUCCUAAAGGGUAUUUUAGAAGUAGUGUCAUAAAGAUCAAAUUGCAAACUUACUUGGCCAAGACCUCACUGAAGACUGAACUUUGCUCUAUGGUGAACUUUACGACUUUCCUUCUGCCCUAUGGCUUUCUGUUUUGGAAACUCCUAUUUAAUAUACACCCGAUUCGGCCCACCAAAAGAACGUUUUUUUUAAAAAAAAUUCGUAUAAACUAUAUUAUCAGAUAUAUUCAUAAUUUAUAUAUUAUUACUAUUCAUGCUAAUAGUAUUUCUACAUCAUAUAUACAAUACGUUAAAUAAGAAAUCAAGAUAGCUUUAUGAUUCCUUAUUUAGCCGCGCUAAAGAAGGGAAUUAAAUAUUUUCCAGUCUUCCCAAACGCAAAUCAUGCAUAGUAAUAACUAUCGUCGAGUUCGUCACAAAAUUGUCGUACUCUAUUUUUGGAAGACACUCUGUUUCAAAGUUUUCUCUGAUUUUACAAUUCAAAAUUGACAAAAUCUUCUACAAUUCUUCUGCAAUAAAAACAAUUAUGGCAAAAAUACCAAUUAUGAUACAACUUAAUGGGAAUUAAGAUAGUUAUGGGAGAUUUAGAGGAUUUGAGGUCUAUGGCAUUUUUGGCAUUGUAGUCGAUGACGGUGCGAGUUAUAGUCUAUUGAUUUCUACAAUAGCACAGCAAUUAAUUAUUGAUAAAUCCGAAAAAUUAUAGAAAUCAAAUACAUUGUCUUCCAAUGGAAACUAGGAGCGAUAUGGGUGUUCGUGUAUACAUGGAGACAAAAAAGAAAAAUAAAAAUUUAGGAUCAUAUCUGCUAUGUAUUAUUGUUCGCGAUUUCAAUAUGGAAUUGAGUAUCACCAAUGAGAACACAGCUGCAGGUAUGUGAAGUAAUUUUUUCUAUGAAAUUCCAAUACAAUGUCAGUAGUCUACAAUUUACCUACAUUUUAACUACAGUUAACUACAUAUAUAUUAUUCAAUAUGAAUUUCUAUAUUAUCUACAAAAUUUUACAUUUAUUCUACAAUAAAACAACAAAAAAGUUGAAAAAUUAAUAUAAAAUAUUGAAUUUCAAUAUUUCUAUAAGUUAUCUUCAAAUAGGCGAUAACAUGUAUUUUUUUAUUUUCAUUGAGAUUCUUAUGGAAUACUAAAUUUAAUUGAUAUGUCAUAAUCUCCUGUUAUAGAGGAAUAUGAAAGUAUAAUAAUAACUGAUAGUACACCAAGUUCUAUUGAAGUAGGACAAGUAUACCAAGGCAAAAAAACAAUUGCAACUGCAAUGAAUCACUAUUUUGUCAUGCACAAGUUCCAAUUCAGGGUUAAAAGAUCUAAUGCUAGAAGGUAUGAACAUAUAAAUAGUCAAAGAUUUUUUUUUGUAGUUUGCUUUUAAUUUUUUACUUAUUCAAGCUUUUCCUUGUGAUAAUGUUUAACAGAAUUGUAGUUGAAUUGUAGUUAUAUUGUAUAUAAAUUAUAUAAUGUGAUCUUUUAAGCUAAAACAAUUUUUUUUAAAUCUAAAUUUUAACCCAUUGUGUAAAAUGUAUUAAUUUUGUAUCUACUGGCUGAUAUGUAUUGGUGAAAACUGUACUUGGCACUUCAAGGCAACUAGCAUAAAUGAUUCUGCAAUAUUCAAGGUCAGAAAUUUCGACAGACAACACACAUGCUCUUUAAUGGACAAUACAUUCAUACAACGCAAAGCUACUGCCAUGGUAGUUGGUAGCAUGGUCAUUCCAAAAUAUUCUGAUCCUAAGACAAUUUACAACCCAAAAGAAUUCAAUUUGACACGUUGUCUGAACACGACAUGAACCUAACCUACAUGCAAGCCUGUAGAACAAAGAAAAAGGCUUUACAGUUUAUGAGAGGUCAUCCUGCUGAUUCUAAUAGCAAAUUGUCUAGUUAUUUGUAUAUUCUAGAGAAGACUUAUCCGGGACCUAUAGUUAAAUUGAAGAAGACAGACGAUGACUGCUUUUUGUAUGUAUUUGUUGCGAUUUGUACGUCAAUCAGUGGUAGGGAAUAUUGUAGGCCAGUUGUAGUAGUUGAUGGAAUAUUUUUAAAUUCAGCAUACAGGAGAAUAAUGUUAACAACCAGUAAAAUGGAUGCAGCAGGUACUGAAGUUUUGUUGUAGAAAUAUUGUAGCUUGUAUUUCUUUUUUGUAGUACUUGCAGAUAAUUGUAGAUCUAUUGUAGAUAUUUUGUAGAAUAUUUGUAGUUUGUAUAUAUAUGCCUUUUUCGCAGCUAACUAAUUACUUCUUGCCACAUAAUGUAGGUACCAUAUUACCAUUGGCAUAUACUGUUGUUAAUUCAGAGAAUUUGUGCAUCGUGGAAGUGAUUUUUUGAGCAAUUCGAACUCGAAUAUGGUGAAAGACCAAAUAUGUGUGUUGUUUCAUAUCAGAAUGAGAGUAUCUUGAAGGCAAUAUCUAUUGUUUAUCCUGACAUGCCACAUUAUUUUUGAUGUGGCAUAUUUGGGCAAAUAUACGGGCAAAGUUCAAGAAGGGAUAUCUUAAGUUAAGUGAAUUAUACUAUGUCAUGGCACGGACAUGCACACUUGAUGAAUUUAAUGAAAGGAUGUCAACAAUUGAGGAGAUUGACCCCCCUUUUGAAGCAUAUUUAUAUGAUAUUGGCUGUCAUAGAUGGUCCCUAGUACAUGCUACAGUGAACAGAACUUGGACUAUGGCAUCAAAUAUUGCAGAGUCGUUAAAUGCUGUAACAACAUAUGCAAGAGAGUUGCCGAUGGUAGAACUAUUAGAGUAUAUGAGGACCCUUCUUGAACGUUGGACAAAAUAAAAGUUAUUGAAAGCAAAGGGUAAAUUCACAUACCCUGGAUACAAAUUCAACAAAGAGUUGGAUGACAACAAAAAUU
RNAcentral lists this long non-coding RNA (12413 nucleotides) under Nicotiana benthamiana. Its description in RNAcentral is "long non-coding RNA (NBEN_LNC014388)". The record is from RNAcentral. Lineage: Eukaryota; Viridiplantae; Streptophyta; Magnoliopsida; Solanales; Solanaceae.